Transfer RNA from Monosiga brevicollis MX1, 74 nucleotides. It matches the Rfam family "tRNA". From Rfam's summary of the family: Transfer RNA (tRNA) molecules are approximately 80 nucleotides in length. Their secondary structure includes four short double-helical elements and three loops (D, anti-codon, and T loops). NCBI's taxonomy places the organism in Eukaryota, Choanoflagellata, Craspedida, Salpingoecidae. The record is from Rfam.
AUCCCCUUAGCUCAGUUGGUUAGAGCGCAGGUCUAAUAAACCUGAGGUCGUGAGUUCGAGCCUCGCAGGGGAUA